UACGGGGGGGCAAGCGUUGUUCGGAAUUACUGGGCGUAAAGGGCUCGUAGGUGGCCAAUUAAGUCAGACGUGAAAUCCCCAGGCUCAACCUGGGAACUGCGUCUGAUACUGGUUGGCUUGAAUUCGGGAGAGGGAUGCAGAAUUCCAGGUGUAGCGGUGAAAUGCGUAGAUAUCUGGAGGAAUACCGGUGGCGAAGGCGGCAUCCUGGACCGAGAUUGACACUGAGGAGCGAAAGCCAGGGGAGCAAACGGG
RNAcentral lists this ribosomal RNA (252 nucleotides) under uncultured bacterium. RNAcentral describes it as "partial 16S ribosomal RNA". It matches the Rfam family "Bacterial small subunit ribosomal RNA", at positions 524 to 776 of the family's 1533-position model. The record is from RNAcentral.